GGCCAAAGCACUUCUGGUGAUCUCCUCUCC
Molecule: non-coding RNA, 30 nt
Filed under: Mus musculus (house mouse)
Lineage: Eukaryota; Metazoa; Chordata; Mammalia; Rodentia; Muridae
Source: RNAcentral